RNAcentral lists this unclassified non-coding RNA (705 nucleotides) under Hevea brasiliensis (rubber tree). The record is from RNAcentral. Lineage: Eukaryota; Viridiplantae; Streptophyta; Magnoliopsida; Malpighiales; Euphorbiaceae.
GCUAAGACACCAAAUUACAACCCCAUGCAGGGUGCCUCUGCAUCCCUUAUCACCAGAAUAACGGAAAUACACAAGCAAUUAGAAUCUCUCUCCCUCUAUAAGAAAGGGAGAGGACAGAGAUUCUGCCUCACCAUAUGCAUCUUUUCCCUUUCAAGAUUCACAGAAAUGGGUUGUGGAGAAUCAAAACAUGCUGUUGCCACAGGAAACACCAUAACUCGAAAGAAAUCUGAUGCCGCUAGCAGGAAAAGCGAAGUCAUAAAAACUGUCGAUGAAACAAGGGAGAAAGGAAACAAGACUGACUCAUUGGUGCGGCAAGAAGGAAGCCAAAAUUUAGGCGAUGAGAAUGUAGUGCCCGUUGCUAAUGAAUAUAAAGAAUCGAAAGGAGAAAAAGAAAUGAACAAGGAAGAUGGUGUUGCUGUUGAAGACCAAGAACCAGCUGGGAGAUUGAUUUCAAAAGGGUCACCAAAUCGAUCCUUUUCGCCUAGGAAAUUUAAGGAUGUGGUGGGAUUUACAUCUGAGGGAAGGUCUGACGAGUCUGAAUAUUCCUCUCCACGACUUGGAUCAGAAAAGGAUAGCUUCUUCAGUGAUUGUUCUAAAUCGGAUGAUAUUGUGGAGGAGACAUUGUCAUUAGUUCAAGCAACUGAAAAUGGUUUGGAGACUUUGCAGUACGGCAGUGCACAGUGCACAGUGCCAGUAGGCCUGGAG